Molecule: long non-coding RNA, 1002 nt
Organism: Salvelinus fontinalis (brook trout)
Lineage: Eukaryota; Metazoa; Chordata; Actinopteri; Salmoniformes; Salmonidae
Exons: 5
Source: RefSeq, a predicted model, not a curated record
GCACUGCACAGGAAAACUAUCGAAUGUGUGUCCAUAAAUCCAGGGUCUAGUCUACUCACUGGAGUCCCUAGAAAACAAAUGAGAUUCCCUGCAACCAUUGGUGACAAGGAGAUAGCACGCCCGCCAGCAGUUGAACUUCUUGACUGAUGCCGUGGCCAUGGCUACUAAAAUGGAGGGAGCAGCUGCGAACCAGAAGACUCCAGCCAAGGUAGCACUGGUCCACACCUGCCAUGUCUGUCAGAUGCAGACCCGAAGACAUUCAAGUAGCACUUUCAGAGUGUAACAGUAUAACUUUAGACCGUCCCCUCGCCCCGACCCGGGCGCGAACCAGGGACCCUCUGCACACAUCAACAACUGACACCCACGAAGCGUCGUUACCCAUCACUCCACAAAAGCCGCGGCCCUUGCAGAGCAAGGGGCAACACUACAUCUAGGUUUCAGAGCAAGUGACGUAACUGAUUGAAACGCUACUAGCGCGUACCCGCUAACUAGCUAGCCAUUUCACAUCCGUUACAAGAGCAAGCAUCCCAAGUCUCCAGUGGUCCCAGUACUGAUGUACUUGAUGUGCAGGCCUAAGGGACCACACACACUCAAAUGGACCUACAGCUGGGACACACUAUGACCACGAUUUUAAUGCUGCAACUGAGAAGGAUCGACGUCAAGGGACACACGCUGAGACCCCGAGUAUGAUUAGACAUGGGCCAGAUAUUUGCGACUACGACCUGAAAGGGGUGCAGAAGCACACCAGCACCCUAUUUUAUGUUUAUUCCAUGGCCAACCAUCUCUCUAGCUACCCCUUAUUCCACACAAUGCCUUUUAUCCUCCAUGGUCCCUCAACUUCUGACACUUUAUAACUAUCCAUCUUAUCUCCUACCUACCCUACCUUCACCCAUUUUCCCUAUGCUGCUUCCUUCACUUGUUCUUCUCCUGAUUUCACAAUAUCUAGACUCAGUAACACGUUUAAAAGUAUUGUGGUGUACUGUUCUUGCUACCUUGCUAUAA